ACAGAAACCACUGCAGUGAGGCUUGACAUGAUUAUUCCUCAUUCAUUGCCUGGUAAUACAGUGGAGGAACUUUGUAAGACUGUCUGCCAGCCUGCCACCCUUCCCAGCCCUCACCCAAAUACAUCACAAGAUCAAGGACUAGACGAGAGUGCCUUGCGAAUCCCACUGAUGUGCUUUUUGCGCCUGACCAGCCAGCCUGCCACUCUGCCCAGCCCUCACACAAAACAAUCACAAGAUCAAGAAUGAGCUCCUGCUGUUGACGGACCUCCACCAGGCUGUGCAGUGACUGCUGACCAAUAAGGGUUAAAAGGACG
Long non-coding RNA from Engraulis encrasicolus (European anchovy), 314 nucleotides. RefSeq lists it as uncharacterized. The transcript is spliced from 5 exons. Lineage: Eukaryota; Metazoa; Chordata; Actinopteri; Clupeiformes; Engraulidae. The record is from RefSeq and is a predicted model, not a curated record.